GUCAGGGAUGAGCCACUGACACAGAGGGGGUGGCACUGUGGGGCACUGUCCCUUUUUACAUGGCUUCAACAUUUGUGGAAGUUUGGAGUCAUUAAUUUCCUGAAUGUCUGCCUUUAAUGGAAAACAUGAUCUUUUGGGAAAGACAAACUGGGCAUAAAACCCUCCAAGUCUUUAUCCAGGUCAGAACAUUGAAUUGGAGAGGCCACAAAUCUCUUGGGAAUCAGGGGUAGAUCUGAUGCCACGAGCAAAAGCUGCUCCCAUUUCUGGGCUUGCAGUGGGUUAUGAACAGCAAGGAGAAUCCCAAUGCACUGCUUUAGUCCUGAGGUCAUGCCAGGCUCAGAGCCUGCAGCAUCUCUGCUGUUCUUUCUCCUGGAGCAAGCUUGCAAGAAGAGCUUGGUGCUGGAGGGAGCACAGUGAGGCUGACAGAGUUUGUGCAGGUCUUGUCACGUUGUCCAGGCAUGUCACGACAGAGACCCAAGGGAAGAGAAACCACAGGAGCCAGGAAAGGCUUUCAAACCAUCCCUGCUCUGCUCUGAGCUCUCUGGGUCACUGAAUUUAAGGGCUGCUCCCACACACCAGGAGACCUCUGUGUUUGUUGGGUAAACCAGGGGAGCAGCCAUGUGUAGACAUGAUUUAAGAGCCAUUCCCUCUUCCAGCAUGGAGCAGAAGCCGUGGAUAGAGGGACAUUGAAGGAUAUAGCCCAGGAGGGGGAAGUAAGGGCAGAUAUUGUUCUGAGCUUUUCCUCUGCGUGCUUCCAGAAAGGGCUCUGGCCUGGAAAAGGAUGUCAGGACAGGAAGGAUAUGGAGUUGGCCUCAGCUCUCACACAAACAGCUGAAGUGACCUUUCUCUAGCAAAACACCAACUCUUGCAGGAUGGAUUUCUUCUGAAGGGUGUCAGCUCUGGAAGAGCCAUUGCAUAUGCAGGGGGUAGAUACAUAAAUACACAUAAAUAGAGAGUUGCUAGAUAAACAGGUGAGUUAGUUGGUUAGUUAGUUAGUUGGUUAGUUAGUUAGUUAAUGUGGGGGGUACAGAAAGAGAGGUAGACCAAUGCAGCCUUCCCAGGGCUUUUAGCUGCCCUCGUUCACAGCCCAGGUUUUGUAGGUUUGGGUGCCUCAGGAAGGGCACUCUGUGUAUCUUCACCCCGCUCCUGAGUGUGGCAGUGUUUGCACAGUGUUAUUGGCUCACAACUGCUCCUGGCCUCCUUCCCUCCAUGCACAGCUCCCACACGGACAGGGAAACUGAGGCACACAGCAGCAAAGCAUGCUCUGAAGGUGGCAGAACACACGGGGAGAAAAGCCAGGCCUGGCAGAGCCAGGGGCCCAGUCCUCCAUUGUCUCCCCUGGUGCUGCCCUUGCUGCCUUGCUGGUGACGGUCUCUGUCACACUUCUAGGAAGAUGUCACCGCCUCUAAAGGGCGUCAGACGCCCACCUUGGGGCGCCUGCAUGGCGUGAGUCACGCAGGAAGAGCCGAGAGCUGCGAGGUGGGAGCUGGGCACUUUCCAGGAAAAGCUGGGUUGCAACCACAGAAGCCAUUUCCUUGCAGGCUCGAGCCAUUUUUCCCCUGCCAGAAACGACUGCUUUGCACAUGCUGAGCCCUCCUGAGGUGGGGAUUUUCUCCCACAUGUCCUCUCUUUCUCCCUUUCCCACCCUCUGGGCUGCUCCCAAAAGGAGCUCCUGGCUUGAGGACAGCCACAGGACCAUCUCUGCCUCAUGGCUCGUCUCUCCUCCUGCAGCUUGCCUGGAUUAACAACCACUCUCUGCAUCACUGAUCUGAUCUUUUUAGUUGGUUUUAACCCCAAACCAGGCACUGUCCACUAGGAAAAAAUCUCCAGGCCCCAUUUGGAGAGGUUUCCUGCAGGCUGAAACCUCUCUGAGGUGAAAAAUCCAUGUCUCCAGGCUCUUCCCACCAAAGAACUCUUUCUUUUUUCCGAGCUCUUCCCACCCAUUUCUCUAAGUGCAAUUUUUGGGGUGUUAUUCCCACUUCUGGACUGAAUUUAUCCCCAGAACAUCACAAGAUUUGUAGGAAAAUGCUGUUGGAAGAAGAUGGUUUGAGGCCGCUCUUGAGGGAGGUUGUUGGAUUUCCUUGAGGCUGAGAUCUGUGGGGGCACAAAUGUUAAUUUGAGUAAUUCCUCAUCCCUCACGUCCAGGGGAGGUGAAACAAAGUGGAAAACCCAGCCCAAUUCUUGGAACAGCCUUAGAUUGCAUUGUUUUUCCUAGCUGGGCCUGAAUCCUAGGCCUAACCCGAGGAACAGCCGUGUUAAUCUGAGCUUGGCUGCUAAGACACAGCCAAAAUUGUCAGAAAUACUCUGAAAACACCAAAAUUCCAAGGACUAUUCCCCAGCUGCAUCUCCCUGGCCCAGCCCAGCUUUCUGUGAGAGAUCCCCUUUGUUCCCAGGCCUCCUGACAGCCGUUGUGUGUGCUCCAUAAACAUCAAAUGGAAGAGACGCUUUUAAUGUAAUUAUAAUUUAAGCAUAAAAUAUGUCACUUCUGUAGGAUUUUGUUGUCUGGUGCGUAAUUACUUUAUGGCACUAUAAAAAUAUAUUGCAUUAUGAUGCCUUGCUGUGCUUUGCUCAAAUAAUUUAUAGCACAGUAAUAGUGUGGAACAAUAUUCCAGACCAUUGUAUCCAAUCUUGCAUAUAAAUAAAACUGUGGAAAAUAAUGAUCUUGGUUAAACGCUCAUUUAAUUAUUUUGCAGGCUUGGUUAAGGGUUUUUAUCCCUGUUUCAUUCCCACAUCCUCACCAGAUUAUAUUCAAACUAUCUAGAGGGAGAGCUUUUAAAGCUCACAGAAAAUAGAGCUAUAUAUGGAAUUUUUUAUAUAUACUGCCAUUUCCAAACAACUGGGGAAAAGAAGCGUUUGCUGCAGGGUGAGUGGAAUUGCAAAAAAUUUCCAAAAUUUCUUCCCAAGCAAUAUGUUGGAAACUCUUUCAGUCCAAGCCCACUGAAACAUUUUGGUGGCCUAAAAAAACAAGCCCAUUCCUUCUGCUUUUGAGGUUCUCAAUAUUUUUAUGCCCUUGAGACAGAACUUUAGUGACUUUUUGAAGCAAAAUGUUGAUUCAAAAAACCCAACCCCCUUCUUGCCUUAAAAAGAAGGAACUGAAACUUUACUCUCUCUUCUCAGCAUCCCUUCCUGGGCAUCAGCUUCGACCACAAAUGACAAAAUAUUUCCCACCUGCCCGUUCCUCAUCCCAUCCCUGAUCUCCUGCCCAGAUUAUCCUCCCAGGAAUCCCCUCCCAUCCUGGAUCAUUGCCUGUUUUGGGGCCCUCACUCAGAUUUGCUCAGUGGAGGAUGCUGAGGGUCUCCAGAGGGUUGAGCCUCCCCACAGGAAAGAGUCACCUCCACAAAAACCAUUUUAUUCAUAUUUUGAUGUUAUAUUUAGCAGUCAGACUGUGGGUGGAGUGGGGAGAAAUGUCAGGCAGGAGGACUCCAGACAAAGCAAGACUCACUGGCAGGGGGUAAAACUGAAUUUACAGCUCAUGAAGGACUGGGAGGACUCACUGCUAUUGCAGGGUCUCGCUGGAAGAAGGCACUGAUAAUUUUCCUUUUAAUCUCCGUGUUUUCCUCCCAUGUGAAGCCACAUGGAGAUGCCAUCCCUCACCCAUCAGGAUCUUCCCCAUGUUCUUUCUCCCUUGCCUUCCCCAUCCUCUUCCUCCUGGAGCUGGGGCAAGGAUCUAAAAAUAGUGGUGAGCCCCGUAUAUGCAUCUUCAGCAAAGAGACUCAUAAAUGCAGCCAGGACUGAAAAUCAAUUCUUUAAAGCUGAAAUCAAUAA
This is a long non-coding RNA of Passer domesticus (house sparrow), 3765 nucleotides long. RefSeq lists it as uncharacterized. The record is from RefSeq and is a predicted model, not a curated record. The transcript is spliced from 3 exons. Lineage: Eukaryota; Metazoa; Chordata; Aves; Passeriformes; Passeridae.